UACGGAGGGUGCAAGCGUUGUCCGGAUUUAUUGGGUUUAAAGGGUGCGUAGGUGGCUUUAUAAGUCAGUGGUGAAAGCCUGCAGCUUAACUGUAGGACUGCCAUUGAUACUGUAGAGCUUGAGUACUGAUGAGGUAGGCGGAAUUGAUAGUGUAGCGGUGAAAUGCAUAGAUAUUAUCAAGAACACCGAUUGCGAAGGCAGCUUACUAAGGAGUUACUGACACUGAGGCACGAAAGCGUGGGGAUCAAACAGGAUUAGAUACCCUGGUAGUCCACGCCAUAAACGAUGAUUACUCGAUGUAUGCGAUAGACUGUAUGCGUCCAAGCGAAAGCGUUAAGUAAUCCACCUGGGGAGUACGACCGCAAGGUUG
This 370-nucleotide ribosomal RNA is filed under the name uncultured bacterium. RNAcentral describes it as "bacterial SSU rRNA". It matches the Rfam family "Bacterial small subunit ribosomal RNA", at positions 524 to 896 of the family's 1533-position model. The record is from RNAcentral.